Molecule: ribosomal RNA, 467 nt
Filed under: Clostridioides difficile
Lineage: Bacteria; Bacillati; Bacillota; Clostridia; Peptostreptococcales; Peptostreptococcaceae
Description: partial 23S ribosomal RNA
Rfam family: Bacterial large subunit ribosomal RNA
Source: RNAcentral
UGAGACAGUUCGGUCCCUAUCCGUCGCAGGCGUAGGAAAUUUGAGAAGACCUGUCCUUAGUACGAGAGGACCGGGAUGGACGUACCUCUGGUGUACCAGUUUAGGUCCCAAGGGUUGGGCUGUUCGCCCAUUAAAGUGGUACGCGAGCUGGGUUCAGAACGUCGUGAGACAGUUCGGUCCCUAUCCGUCGCAGGCGUAGGAAAUUUGAGAAGACCUGUCCUUAGUACGAGAGGACCGGGAUGGACGUACCUCUGGUGUACCAGUUGUUCUGCCAAGGGCAUGGCUGGGUAGCUAUGUACGGAAUGGAUAAGCGCUGAAAGCAUCUAAGCGCGAAGCCAACUUCAAGAUAAGAUUUCCCACCGCAAGGGUAAGACCCCAGAAAGACUAUCUGGUUGAUAGGUCGAAGGUGUAAGUGCAGCAAUGUAUUUAGCUUAUCGAUACUAAUAGGUCGAGGACUUGACCAAAUU